UCUCAGUUCGGAUUGGAGUCUGCAACUCGACUCCAUGAAGCUGGAUUCGCUAGUAAUCGCGCAUCGGCCACGGCGCGGUGAAUACGUUCCCGGGUCUUGUACACACCGCCCGUCACACCAUGGGAGUCGGAAAUGCCCAAAGUCAGUGACCUAACCGAAAGGGAGGAGCUGCCGAAGGUGGAGCCGGUAAUGGGGUGAAGUCGUAACAAGGUACC
This 215-nucleotide ribosomal RNA is filed under the name uncultured bacterium. Its description in RNAcentral is "partial 16S ribosomal RNA". It matches the Rfam family "Bacterial small subunit ribosomal RNA", at positions 1286 to 1500 of the family's 1533-position model. The record is from RNAcentral.